RNAcentral lists this ribosomal RNA (406 nucleotides) under uncultured bacterium. Its description in RNAcentral is "partial 16S ribosomal RNA". It matches the Rfam family "Bacterial small subunit ribosomal RNA", at positions 29 to 526 of the family's 1533-position model. The record is from RNAcentral.
AUUGAACGCUGGCGGCAGGCCUAACACAUGCAAGUCGAACGAGUGGCGGACGGGUGAGUAAUGUCUGGGAAACUGUCUGAUGGAGGGGGAUAACUACUGGAAACGGUAGCUAAUACCGCAUACUACAGGAUGUGCCCAGAUGGGAUUAGCUGGUAGGUGGGGUAAAGGCUAACCUGGGCGACGAUCCCUAGCUGGUCUGAGAGGAUGACCGCAAAAACGGGAACUGGAAAACGGCCAGGACUCCUACGGAGGGCGUCAGUGGGAAAUAUUGGACAUUGGGCGCAAGCCUGAUGCAGCCAGGCGGCGUGUAUGAGGAGGGCCUUCGGGUUGUAAAGUACGUUCAGCGGGGAGGCGGUACCCGCAGAAGAAGCACCGGCUAACUCCGUGCCAGCAGCCGCGGUAAUAC